AUUGAACGCUGGCGGCAUGCCUUACACAUGCAAGUCGAACGGUAACAGGCCGCAAGGUGCUGACGAGUGGCGAACGGGUGAGUAAUGCAUCGGAACGUGCCCAGUAGUGGGGGAUAGCCCGGCGAAAGCCGGAUUAAUACCGCAUACGACCUGAGGGUGAAAGGGGGGGAUCGCAAGACCUCUCGCUAUUGGAGCGGCCGAUGUCAGAUUAGCUAGUUGGUGGGGUAAAGGCCUACCAAGGCAACGAUCUGUAGUUGGUCUGAGAGGACGACCAGCCACACUGGGACUGAGACACGGCCCAGACUCCUACGGGAGGCAGCAGUGGGGAAUUUUGGACAAUGGGCGCAAGCCUGAUCCAGCAAUGCCGCGUGCAGGAAGAAGGCCUUCGGGUUGUAAACUGCUUUUGUCAGGGAAGAAAUCUUCUGGGUUAAUACCUCGGGGGGAUGACGGUACCUGAAGAAUAAGCACCGGCUAACUACGUGCCAGCCGCCGCCGUAA
Molecule: ribosomal RNA, 498 nt
Filed under: uncultured bacterium
Lineage: Bacteria
Description: partial 16S ribosomal RNA
Rfam family: Bacterial small subunit ribosomal RNA
Source: RNAcentral